UACGUAGGGUGCGAGCGUUGCCCGGAUUUAUUGGGCGUAAAGAGCGUGUAGGCGGCCAUACAGGUCCGUUGUGAAAACUCGAGGCUCAACCUCGAGACGUCGAUGGAAACCGUAUGGCUAGAGUCCGGAAGAGGAGAGUGGAAUUCCUGGUGUAGCGGUGGAAUGCGCAGAUAUCAGGAGGAACACCGAUGGCGAAGGCAGUUCUCUGGGCCGUAACUGACGCUGAGGAGCGAAAGCGUGGGGAGCGAACAGG
Molecule: ribosomal RNA, 253 nt
Filed under: uncultured bacterium
Lineage: Bacteria
Description: partial 16S ribosomal RNA
Rfam family: Bacterial small subunit ribosomal RNA
Source: RNAcentral